UACGAAGGGGGCUAGCGUUGCUCGGAAUCACUGGGCGUAAAGGGUGCGUAGGCGGGUCUUUAAGUCAGGGGUGAAAUCCUGGAGCUCAACUCCAGAACUGCCUUUGAUACUGAAGAUCUUGAGUUCGGGAGAGGUGAGUGGAACUGCGAGUGUAGAGGUGAAAUUCGUAGAUAUUCGGAGGAACACUAGUGGCGAAGGCGGCUCACUGGUCCAUUACUGACGCUGAGGUGCGAAAGCGUGGGGAGCAAACAGG
Molecule: ribosomal RNA, 253 nt
Filed under: uncultured bacterium
Lineage: Bacteria
Description: partial 16S ribosomal RNA
Rfam family: Bacterial small subunit ribosomal RNA
Source: RNAcentral